Molecule: ribosomal RNA, 531 nt
Filed under: uncultured eukaryote
Lineage: Eukaryota
Description: SSU rRNA
Rfam family: Eukaryotic small subunit ribosomal RNA
Source: RNAcentral
UCUACCGUAACGAUGACAACCAGCGAUUAGUCGGUGUUAAUAUACGACCCGACUAGCAGCUUCCGGGAAACCAAAGUCUUUCGUUUCCGGGGGAAGUAUGGUUGCAAAGCUGAAACUUAAAGGAAUUGACGGAAGGGCACCACCAGGAGUGGAGCCUGCGGCUUAAUUUGACUCAACACGGGAAAGCUUACCCGGCCCGGACACUGUAAGGAUUGACAGAUUGAGAGCUCUUUCUUGAUUCGGUGGGUGGUGGUGCAUGGCCGUUCUUAGUUGGUGGAGCGAUUUGUCUGGUUAAUUCCGAUAACGAACGAGACUCUAGCCUGCUAAAUAGCCAACUGAUCCGCAGCGUCGGUUGCUUAUAAUGCUUCUUAGAGGGACAGGCGGCUUCCAGUCGCACGAGAUUGAGCAAUAUCAGGUCUGUGAUGCCCUUAGAUGUCCGGGGCCGCACGCGCGCUACACUGAAGGGAUCAACGUGCUUUCUUACCUUGGCCGGAAUGGCCUGGGGAAUCCGAUGACACCCCUUCGUGAUUG